GGAAACAGAUGCUAAUACCGGAUAACAACAGAUGAUGCCUAUCAACUGUUUAAAAGAUGGUUCUGCUAUCACUCUUGGAUGGACCUGCGGUGCAUUAGCUAGUUGGUAGGGUAACGGCCUACCAAGGCGAUGAUGCAUAGCCGAGUUGAGAGACUGAUCGGCCACAUUGGGACUGAGACACGGCCCAAACUCCUACGGGAGGCAGCAGAC
Molecule: ribosomal RNA, 210 nt
Filed under: uncultured Lactobacillus sp.
Lineage: Bacteria; Bacillati; Bacillota; Bacilli; Lactobacillales; Lactobacillaceae
Description: partial 16S ribosomal RNA
Rfam family: Bacterial small subunit ribosomal RNA
Source: RNAcentral